GUACACUCCUACGGGAGGCAGCAGUGGGGAAUUUUGGACAAUGGGCGAAAGCCUGAUCCAGCAAUGCCGCGUGUGUGAAGAAGGCCUUCGGGUUGUAAAGCACUUUUGUCCGGAAAGAAAUCCUUGGCUCUAAUACAGUCGGGGGAUGACGGUACCGGAAGAAUAAGCACCGGCUAACUACGUGCCAGCAGCCGCGGUAAUACGUAGGGUGCGAGCGUUAAUCGGAAUUACUGGGCGUAAAGCGUGCGCAGGCGGUUUGCUAAGACCGAUGUGAAAUCCCCGGGCUCAACCUGGGAACUGCAUUGGUGACUGGCAGGCUAGAGUAUGGCAGAGGGGGGUAGAAUUCCACGUGUAGCAGUGAAAUGCGUAGAGAUGUGGAGGAAUACCGAUGGCGAAGGCAGCCCCCUGGGCCAAUACUGACGCUCAUGCACGAAAGCGUGGGGAGCAAACAGGAUUAGAUACCCGUGUAGUCCCAUGAU
Molecule: ribosomal RNA, 479 nt
Filed under: uncultured organism
Description: partial 16S ribosomal RNA
Rfam family: Bacterial small subunit ribosomal RNA
Source: RNAcentral